AUCACUAUAGUCGCCGUCAGCUGAAAUUCGUAGCGGUUAUCAGUAAAAAUAAUCUAAACUAUCAAUCGCGUUCACUCGAGAUAUAGUUUUUCACAUUCCAUUCAUAAAUCGCAAAAAGAAAAACCACUACUGACCUACCUUUUAAGUGAUCGCACUGUAAUAAUCCUGACCUUCACUUUUUCAUAGACGAUUUUGAAUGGUGGAAUCAGCCAUUGUUUUUACCGGAAGUGUUUCCGUGGAGUUCAAUUUCAUAAAAUUUGCAUAAAGCGCGGGAAACAUUAUCACAUCAAUGAAAGGAACAUUUCAGGAAACUGCGUACAGUGACGAAUGUCAUAUGUAAACAAAUGAUCCUCAUAGAAACGAAGAUGGCGGAAUUACAAUGGAAAAAUAUUCUGGAAAAUGUGAAGGUCAGGAUUAUUACAGUGCGAUCACUUAAAAGGUAGGUCAGUAGUGGUUUUUCUUUUUGCGAUUUAUGAAUGGAAUGUGAAAAACUAUAUCUCGAGUGAACGCGAUUGAUAGUUUAGAUUAUUUUUACCGAUAACCGCUACGAAUUUCAGCUGACGGCGACUAUA
RNAcentral lists this long non-coding RNA (572 nucleotides) under Mytilus galloprovincialis (Mediterranean mussel). Lineage: Eukaryota; Metazoa; Mollusca; Bivalvia; Mytilida; Mytilidae. The record is from RNAcentral.